This 69-nucleotide transfer RNA is filed under the name Rattus norvegicus (Norway rat). It matches the Rfam family "tRNA". From Rfam's summary of the family: Transfer RNA (tRNA) molecules are approximately 80 nucleotides in length. Their secondary structure includes four short double-helical elements and three loops (D, anti-codon, and T loops). Further hydrogen bonds mediate the characteristic L-shaped molecular structure. tRNAs have two regions of fundamental functional importance: the anti-codon, which is responsible for specific mRNA codon recognition, and the 3' end, to which the tRNAs corresponding amino acid is attached (by aminoacyl-tRNA synthetases). tRNAs cope with the degeneracy of the genetic code in two manners: having more than one tRNA (with a specific anti-codon) for a particular amino acid; and 'wobble' base-pairing, i.e. permitting non-standard base-pairing at the 3rd anti-codon position. The record is from Rfam by way of RNAcentral. Lineage: Eukaryota; Metazoa; Chordata; Mammalia; Rodentia; Muridae.
GGGGAUUUAGCUCAGUGGUAAAGCACUUGCCUAGCAAGCACAAGGCCCUGGGUUCGAUCCUCAGCUCCA